This 74-nucleotide transfer RNA is filed under the name Alphaproteobacteria bacterium GM202ARS2. RNAcentral describes it as "tRNA-Arg". It matches the Rfam family "tRNA". Rfam says of the family: Transfer RNA (tRNA) molecules are approximately 80 nucleotides in length. Their secondary structure includes four short double-helical elements and three loops (D, anti-codon, and T loops). Lineage: Bacteria; Pseudomonadati; Pseudomonadota; Alphaproteobacteria. The record is from RNAcentral.
GGCCCCGUAGCUCAGUUGGAUAGAGCAACGGACUUCUAAUCCGUGGGUCGCACGUUCGAAUCGUGCCGGGGUCG